GCAGUGCUGGAGAUCCGUCAAACGUCCUAUGCUGGGCACCUUAUGGGACGCCAGAAAGGACGAUGCCGGAAAUGAGCUAUGGAGACAGGGCCACGCAAGGUCAAAGUGAGCCUUGAGCUGUAGCUUGGGGCCGGCCUGAAGACUUGAAGGGUUUGGGGCAGGGCAGACCUGUACCUUAGGACCAGCGCGGUGGCGCUGUAGGUGACGACGUCUCGGAGGAGGUCAGCACCGCCCUCCAAAUGUCCAGUGUGAGGAUACAACUGGGAACUAAAGCUGGAAGAUGCCAGACAUUCAGCAGGGAGUUCCCUCAUCAGCAGCUGGCUAACUGGGGAACUGAAAGUCACAAGGCGCUCGUUUCUGAUAACUCCAUGAAAAUUCACUCUGGGUCAGAAAUCAAUCUUUGGAGUUCUGAACAUGCAGCUUUUCUCAUGGGCCUUUUGGAGAACAAUCAGCUACUCAGCCAUCAGAGCCUUUUUUGCUGGAUGGCAGGCAGGAACUGACAGCAAACCAUCGUCUCUACAACACGCAGAAGAUCAGCACCAAGUCUCCAUUCUCCGAAAACAUGUGUCCAUGCAGCUCUCCCAGGGGAGGUCUGCGCUGCAGUGGAAGGCCCCAGGAGCGUGGGAGCCAGCUCAUCGCAUGAAGGAAACACAGAGUUGUACCUCCAGAUGCCAGGCGGAGCGGCGACGUGACGCACGGUGGACGAGGAGCCAGGAUGCCCAGCUCUGCUACCAACACAGAGUGGGAAUUUGCACACCUCACAUGGUGUCAGUUUCCAAAUGCUGCUGUAAUCAAUUUCCACAAAGUGGUGGCUUAGAAAAACAGACAUGUAUUCGCUGACAGUUCUGGAGCCCAGAAGCCUGAAACCAACGUGAGGGUUCUAGGGGAAGAUCCUCAUUUGCCCCCUCCCAAUUUGGUAGUUCUGGGUGUUCCUUGGCUUGUGGACUCAUCACUCCAAUCUCUGCAUCUGUCUUCACAUUGCUUUCCCUGCUUCUCUGUGUGUCCAUUCUCUGCAUGUCUAAUUUGUAAGGAUAUGAGUGAUUGCAUUUAGGGCCUACUUGGGUUAUCCAGGGAGAUCCCCUCAUCUCAAGAAAAUUGAUCUAAUCAUGUCUGCAAAGACCCUUGAUCCAGAUAACAUUCACAGGUUCUAGGGAUUUGAUUGGGAUAUCUUUGGGGUGAGGGGGGAUAUUUUUCAGCCUGCCACACCCACUUCCCUUCUUCUGGCCUCUUCCAGAAAAUGAUGGCCCCUCUGAGCCCCGAGUUCCCCUUCAGCUUUGAAGUUCUGCAGGUGAUCCUCAGACAGCCUAGCCUGCAUUGCCAAGUUCACGACAAUGUUAUCUCAAUAGAGUACCUGAUAUUUUUUCAAAGCACUUUCCCAUCUGUUAUUUUGCUUCAUGCUCCUGAUCACCUCUCGGGGCACACAGGGCAAUUAAUAUUAAACCCAUUUAAUUGAUGAAACAACAGAGGCCCAAAAACUCCUAACUCACUUUCUCCUUGAGUUAGUCAGCUAAUGGGAACCAGGAGCAGGCCAGGUGGUUUCCCAGGGCAUGCUUUUUUUUUUUCUCUCUCUCUUUCAUUGUAUAUAGCCUUUCACCACCACAGGCUUUGUUCUGGAAGCCCAGGAAGGUAGGCAAGUCAAAGCUUGUCAUGUAGAUCCAAGCCCACCCUGAAUCCCUGAUUCAUAUCCCCUGGAGAGUGUGGCAGGAACUUCAUUUGCACUCCCUGUGGUCCCAGGUGGCAGGUAAGCUCUCAGUCUCUGGCUGUAUACUGUUAGAGACCUCUUCUUCCCGUGGGUAGCUUCCCAAGCAAGGGGGUUUUCCCAAACCUCAAGAACUGCAGGACUAUCAGACAUUAGCAGAAUUAGAUCUGCCUGGCCUCCGGGCCAAAAAAAGAUUUCAAUUGUUUCAGGACAGAUUAAAUUCAGGACUGGGAAUAGGGCAGGGGAGGUCUUUUUUCGCAGUCCCACCUGCCUGUGACUUGCAGAUCUGGACGAAGAAUUUCCUGUCCUAACUAGGCCUCAGUUUCCCUGAAAUAACAUCGAUUAGGUGGGAGUGGGUGUGGGUCAGUAGGAUUUCCUCUUACCCCCAGCCCUUUUCAAUCUAAUUCAGAAAUGAGGAUGAAGCCAAGUGUUUGGAGUUCUUGCGAAGAAAGAUACAACAGCCACACAAGGUAUUAUUAACUUUAUUACUUGUCAGGAAGAGGUGGGGGAAGCAGUUAAGAUUCGGCUAGAUGAGAGGUGAGUGUACUGCAUUACAAUCUCUGGAGGGUGUGGUGGGCAUAUGAGCUGGAAAGGACCAUUAUUUAUUUACUACUUUUGUUAAGUGCCUGUAAUGUGCUGGGUGCUAUGCUGGAUGUGUGUGUAACACAGACACAUAAACCAUUCAGGGUCAACCUUGCGUGGGUGGGAGGAGGUUAAAAGCACUUGCAUCUUCUUCUCCCUGAAAACAGAAACAUCUUCCUCCUUGGCCUACCAUGGUGCCAGCAAUCUCCAGCAUUAGCGAUGGCUCCUUGGGGGUAACCUGCAGAAGCUUCUUAACUGGGUUAAGGCAUCUUAUUACCUUGCAGGAGUAAGGCAAUCGCCAGCUCACUGAUAGUACACAAUGAUUUCGCUCAUUCCAUCCACUCUUGGCCAUUGGUGCAGCAGGAAGGGCCUUGGGGUCCUCCAAUUUGGACAGUGGGGAGGACUUGGCCCUGGGCUGACAGAUUGCUGCUUGGCAGGUUUAUGGGAGCCAGGCGUCAGCAUGGUGUGACGUGGGGAGGCAAGAGUCAAUGCCAAUGCAGGCAGCCCCCUCCCACCAAGCAAAGCGGCUUACAGACUUCGGAGAGGAAACAAAACAUCUACAUGCAAAUGUUGAACCAGAUUUCAGAGCAAGAGAGCAACUUCAAGAGCCAAGGCAGUUCCAACUACCAGGUGUUUAAUACCUUUUCAGCUUGGGUGGAUCAUGGAUCUCUUUGAGAAACUGAGGAGACAGUCUUGGAUUCUCUCUCUGUCUCUCUCUCUCUCCCCCACCUCCCCCUCUCUUGCACCUUCUUCUCCCUGCAAACAAAAUCAGAGUCCUGCUCUGUCACCCAGGCUGGAGUGCAGUGGUGCCACCUUGGCUGACUGCUAGCCUUGAACUCCUAGGCUCAAGUGAUCCUCCUGCCUCAGCCUCCCAAAGUGUUAGAAUUACAUGCGUGAGCCCCCACACCUGGCCUGGAUCCUCUCUUUUGUAGAAAAUGCACUUGCAUAGCAAACACACACACACAUACACACCUCUCACUUUUUUAAUGAAAUGUCAGGGUGUCUGCUGAUGCCUGAAGCACAUCCGAGGGCCGCAGUGAGAUAUUCUUCUUUGGAAGUGCUCAACAACCCUGGGAGGUAGGUGUGGCAGGGUCUCUUUUCAUACACCAUAAAACAGAGACCCAGAGGCAGCUCGCAACUUGCUCAGGUCAUGUAUUAGUGAGCAUCAGAGGCAGGCCAGGACCCCCAAUUGCACAGGUCUAGGAAGCACCAUUUCAUCCAAGUCUAUGUUGCAUGCCAAAGAGUGUCACUGACAGAGAACACAGUGAGACCACUGCUACCGCCCUGGAGUUAGGCAGUGCAGCAGCUCUAGAGGACCUCAGCCAGGGUCUUCUGAUAACCAUUUACAGGCAUAUAUGCAAAAAGCCCCACGGGGUGACAGAGGUAAGGAGUCCUGGAGGGGGAUCAGAGAGGGAUGCAAUUGCCGAAGACUUGGAUGCCUAAGCUUGCAAAUGGAAGACUAUUUCUAAAUCAUUUAUUCAUUCCACAGCUUCAUAGGUGGAGGUGAUUCAUAGGUGGUUCCUAUGUGAAUUUCAGUUCCCCUUCCCCCCGACCUAGAGUAAAAUCCACACUCUUAUUUAUUUAUUUAUUUAUUUUGAGAUGGAGUUUCACUCUGUUGCCCAGGCUGGAGUACAGUGGCAUCUCGGCUCCCUGCCACGUCUGCCUCCCAGGUUCAAGCAAUUCUCCUGCCUCAGCCUCCCAAGUACCUGGGAUUACAGGUCACCACCACCGCGCCAAGCUAAUUUUUUGAUUUAUACUAGAGACGGGGUUUCACCAAGUUGGCCAGGAUGGUCUCGAACUCCUGACCUCAAGUGAUCUGUCCACCUCGGCCUCCCAAAGCGCUGGGAUUACAGGCAUGAGCCACCGCACCUGGCCAAAAUCCACACUCUUCAUAGCGAUCUCUGUGGCUCAGCAGGGACCCCUCCAUGCCUCUCUGUCUCUCCUCUCUCUUGCCACUGCCUUUCUUGUUCAUUACACUCCAGCAACCCUGACCUUCUGUCAGUUCCUAGCGCUUGCCAAGCUUUCCCCUCCCCAGGGCCUUUGCACUUGCUGUUCCUCCUGCCUUGGAAGAUUCUAGCCCUGGCUGUUCCCAGGGCUGGCUCCGUCUCAUCCUUCAGCUCUCAUCUUGAAUGUCACUUUCUCAGAGAGAUCUUCUUUGACUUUAUCUAAGAAUAUCCCUCCACUAUUCUCUAGCCAUCUGUUUCUUUUUAGCACGUAUAACAAUCUGUAACUGUUUUAUGUCUUAAUUUGCUUAUGUAUUUAUUAUCUAUCUCUCCCUUGAUCAUAGAAAACAUGGUAAAGAUUGUAGCUACGGUGUCCUGUUCACCAUUCUAUCCCUAGCCCCUAGCACGUAUUAAGGGUUCAAUAAUUGCAGACUGAAUGACUGAAAGGCAUGUUUGGAAGCAGAAGUAUUCCUCGGCCACCACUUUAUCUUACUUAGUGCAGUAAUGCAAUCAACAUUUGGCUCCUGCUGUGAUGCUACCCUGAUCUCGGGCUGGUGAAAGCGUGACUCUCCAAGAUGAGCCAUCCAAGAAACCACAUAGAAAAGAUCAAGGUCCCAUAACUUCAGCUUGGGGAAGCAAGAACAAAUGUGGCAUUCCUCACUUAAGAAAGAAGA
Long non-coding RNA from Homo sapiens (human), 4898 nucleotides. Ensembl annotates it as long intergenic non-protein coding RNA 2457. NCBI's taxonomy places the organism in Eukaryota, Metazoa, Chordata, Mammalia, Primates, Hominidae. The record is from Ensembl.